Cinara cedri is the source of this 234-nucleotide non-coding RNA. The record is from the annotation of a GenBank genome assembly. NCBI's taxonomy places the organism in Eukaryota, Metazoa, Arthropoda, Insecta, Hemiptera, Aphididae.
AAUUAUUAACAAUAUAGUGAAUAAAUUAAAAACAAAUAAUUCAGAAAUAGUUUCGGUAGAUAAAUCUAAUGCUAUAGUUAUCAUUUGCAGUAAUGAAAUUCAAAAAAAGAACUUUAGAUUUUAUAAAUAAUAAUAAUAUUCAAAACUUAACAUUUGACCCAACUGUAAUUUACACUAAACAAAUUAAUAAACUGAUAACAAAUUCAAAAGAAAUCAGACCUAAAAUCCAAAAGA